Molecule: ribosomal RNA, 487 nt
Filed under: uncultured Pelotomaculum sp.
Lineage: Bacteria; Bacillati; Bacillota; Clostridia; Eubacteriales; Desulfotomaculaceae
Description: bacterial SSU rRNA
Rfam family: Bacterial small subunit ribosomal RNA
Source: RNAcentral
GAAACUUAAAUGAAUUGACGGGGCCCGCACAAGCGGUGGAGCAUGUGGUUUAAUUCGACGCAACGCGAAGAACCUUACCAGGGCUUGACAUCCCCUGACCGCGUAUGAAAGUACGUUUUCACCCUCGGGUGACAGGGAGACAGGUGGUGCAUGGUUGUCGUCAGCUCGUGUCGUGAGAUGUUGGGUUAAGUCCCGCAACGAGCGCAACCCCUACGUUUAGUUGCUAACGCGUGAAGGCGAGCACUCUAGACGAACUGCCGUUGACAAAAUGGAGGAAGUGGGGAUGACGUCAAAUCAUCAUGCCCCUUAUGUUCUGGGCUACACACGUGUUACAAUGGCCGGUACAGACGGACGCAAAGCCGCGAGGUGGAGCAAAUCCUAAAAAGCCGGUCUCAGUUCGGAUUGCAGGCUGCAAUUCGCCUGCAUGAAGUCGGAAUCGCUAGUAAUCGCAGGUCAGCAUACUGCGGUGAAUACGUUCCCGGGCCUU